GUGGCCCUCUCCAGGCCAGAUGCGCAGCUGGAGUGGAAGUCACUGAGAGCGGCUAGCAGACAGCAGCGAGUGCUCAGGGGCCUGUGUGCUCUCGGGCACUGCCGGCCACUCGUGGCAUUCUCCCUCACAGCCCUUGGGCAUCUGUGCCCCUGCUACAGCAUACACCAAACUUUAACUGAAAUUUGGGAGAAUGGCAAGAAGUGUGUCCCCACCAUGCAAUUCAAGGUUCCUAGGACUGCUUUCUGGACCUGGAGGCUCCUGGUCCUUGCACCUGCUGACCUGUCACUGCCACAGUGCCCACAGGGCAACUGUGUGCCCUCAUGGUUGCAAGAUUUGAAGACCAGAGAAGAUACCAAAGAGAAGACCAUUAGAAUAUACUUUUGAGUGAGCAGCUCCAUCACUGUCAUCAUGAAAAGGCUCAGAAGGGAUGUGUCCCCAUGAUGUUUAUUUGAAGAAGGCUGUGAAUGUGAGGCUAAAGUAGAAAAGCAAAGGGAAGACACUAUGGGCAAAAUUUCAAAAAAAUGUCUUGCUCAAACCACUGAUUUUCAGCAAGUAGUAGUUGCCCAUGAAGAAAUAGCCUUUCAGGAAAAUAGGCAUAAUUUCAAUGAAUUUGA
Molecule: long non-coding RNA, 614 nt
Filed under: Felis catus (domestic cat)
Lineage: Eukaryota; Metazoa; Chordata; Mammalia; Carnivora; Felidae
Description: lncRNA (ENSFCAG00000041578.2)
Source: RNAcentral